RNAcentral lists this long non-coding RNA (220 nucleotides) under Lathyrus oleraceus (garden pea). RNAcentral describes it as "Pisum sativum (pea) long non-coding RNA (PSAT_LNC012100)". Lineage: Eukaryota; Viridiplantae; Streptophyta; Magnoliopsida; Fabales; Fabaceae. The record is from RNAcentral.
AAUUUACAUCCACAUAAAAUAGUCAUUACAAUGGGAACAUUGAGCAAUCUAUAACAACGAACCAUACAACAACAUGCCAUAACUUUCAAUCAUAACUUAAGCAAUGUAUCAAAAGCAUUAACAUUCAACAAUUAACAUUACAAUAGUACACAACAGACAAUUUUCAAAUCGAACAAACCAUCAAAUCAUUUGAACUGACUUUGUUCAUCACUAACACAAU